Molecule: long non-coding RNA, 3037 nt
Filed under: Homo sapiens (human)
Lineage: Eukaryota; Metazoa; Chordata; Mammalia; Primates; Hominidae
Description: HSALNT0110038
Source: RNAcentral
AUAAACAGGCAGGAAAUUAAACUGACAAUGUGAAAUGGCCAAUCUUCCACCAUUUUCUUUUCAUUCUUCUUUAGAUAUUUUUCCUGGGCCCAGACUACCUUUCCUCACCAUCUGUAAUAAAGUAUAGGUCAGAGGGGCUGCGAUUGAAGAGGAGGUGGGGCUUUCAGUGUUCAAAAGAGAUUAAAGGAGAAAUAUACUUCCAAAGAUUAAAAGACCCCCUCAAACAUAUCAAAUUGAGAUAAAACUCACCGUGGCCUAUAGAUCUAAGACUGGUCUCUGUUAACAAAUGCACCUCAGCAAACUCAGGACUUGAGAAGCCUUAGCCUUGGGGCUGCCCAGGGCUCUGCCACAGCUCAGAUGGAUACUUACUCAACCAGCAACUUAACUCUGUCAUUGGGCUGCUGCAUGUCACUGGAGGUCACCUUUCAUCUGGGAGAAGCAAAUGCCUUUUGUCUUCAGAGCUGAAAAAACUCAGUCUUUCAUUUACCUAUGAAAGCAACAGUUCAGUUCCUCAUGCAAAUGUGCACAGACAAGCUGAAUGGAGAUUAAUUUGGGGAGAAAAAGUAAGGGGAGAAAACCCCUUAGAAUGCAUCUCCGAACUAGAAUUCGGAUCCUUAAACAACAAUUGCGUAGGAGAAAAACAACAACAAUAACAACAGCCAAGACCACUUCCUGUAAACUGUGCUCUGCCACUCCUACUUUGCAGCUGUCAUGCACCAUUACACGUGCCAAGGUCAAAUCCUCUCACAGAACAAUGUAAUCUCUGGUAGUCUCAAAAUCAAAGAGUUCAGGUCAUGCAAUACAGGAAAACCGAACUUUAGACCUAAGAAGAACCUGCCUAUGACUCUUGAAAAUCCACACAGUAAACAGAACACCCCAAAAGUGCUGCAAGGAAUUUUGGCCAAAUUAGAGCGGCUUUGAUACCCAUAAUUUGGAAUUCUCAUUCCAAUUUGACCAAGUCAGAUAAAGUUGGUCAAAUCUGAUGGGGGAAAGACUAGAACAAACAACAGCAGCAGCAACAACAACAAAACCCCAAUAAUAUGAUCACUGAGCACCCUAAUGAAAAGAAUAAAUUAAUACUACCCCAAUUAGGCUACUUACCUAGGAAUGGGUCUUAGGCUGAAGACUGCUUUCUACCAUCCUAGAAGCAGGGAAAAAACAACCAGAAACAAAACAAAAAAACAAACUCAUCUUUCUUGCUGUGAGUGAACUCAAACUCCAUAAAGGGGUUACCUGCCUUUGAUCAUCACGGAAACAGGAAAUUUUGCCUUCCUUGUUGGAAGCAACUAAAACUCCAAAAGAAAAAAAAGGAAUUAUAAAGCAAAAUAAACUUCAGGUCUUGACCAAAUUUUGGGAAACCAGGGAUUCUCUCGAGGGGGUGCUCCCAGACCUCAGCCAGGUGUCCUAUUGGUUUGGGCCAUAAAGUUAGCUCAUGCUGGUACCAAGCACCAACAAGAGAUUUAUCAAGGGUCAGGGCAUCUUCACUCAGAAACCCUCCAUGGUUACCAAAAUGUGAACUCUGAAAAUCUGAGACAGGUCUCAGUUAAUUUAGAAAGUUUAUUUUGUUAAAUUUGAGGUUGCGCACCUGUGACACAGCCCCAGGAGGUCCUGUCGACAUGUGCCCAAGGUGGCUAGAGGCACAGCUUGGUUUUAUACAUUUUAGGAAGACAUGAGACAUCAAUCAAUAUGUGUAAGAUGCACAUUGGUUCAGACUGGAAAGGUGGGACAACCCGAGGUGAAGGUGGGACAACUCCAAGAGAGGAGGGGCCUUCCAGGUCAUAGAAAACGACUGUCCUCCUAUGACUAGGACUUGAAAGGACUUUUUUUCCUGGAUGAAUACCUUAGUCACAAAGGAUGUAUGUAAGGGGUAAUACCAAAGUUCUCACGACUCAGAAGAAUUUAGAUGAACCCUCGCUCUGUCACCCAGGCUAGAGUGCAGUGGCGUGAUCUUGGCUCACUGCAACCUCUGCCUCCCAGGUUCAAGUGAUUCUCCUGCCUCAGCCUCCCAAAUAGCUGGGACUACAGGUGCCAGCCACGAUGCCCAGCUAAUUUUUUGCACUUUUAGUAGAGACAGGGUUUCACCAUGUUGGCCAGGCUGGUCUCAAACUCCUGAUAUCAGGUGACCCGCCCGCCUCGGCCUCCCAAAGUGCUGGGAUUACAGGAAUGAGCCACCACGCCCGGCCAGGGUCAACAUUUUAUUUCAAAUCUUUAAUAUUCUAUAUUCAGUAGAAGGCUUUUUUAGAAAAAGUCUAAAUAAGAUUCUGACAAAUCAAAAGAAUAGUUUUGCUUACUAACAACACUUUAUACUAAUAGUGGAAUACAAUACUUAAAAAAUAUUUAAUUUGCAAGUGAUGAUUGACUACUAAAAUCUCCUUUUGGCGAAUGUAAAAAUUUAAGAAGCUCCAGGACAAAGUACUGGAAACUUUAAUAGCAGAUGAGCAUUCAUCCCCUCCCAAAUGUUUUUAUUUUGUUUAGACUGAAACUUUCAUUAGACGUGGUUGAAAACCAUGAAACCUAUGUACAAAUUGUCUUAAGUAUUCGAUAUUUAAUUUAAAAACUGUGAGCACUGAAGCAUAGAUAAAUUGUAAUUACAGAACAAUUUAAUUUUUUUAAUGAUUCACAUAAGAAAAACAAAUCUUUUUUCUUUAUAGUUAUAUCCAUAUAAUUAUGGUUAUAUCCAUAUAGUUAUAUAGGUUAUAUCCAUAUAGUUAUAGAAAUACAUGUUAUGGUUAUAUCCAUACAGUUAUAUAUAUAUAUAUAAUUAUAGUAAUAUCCAUAUAAGCAUAUAUUUGUUUAUAUUUCUGGGAAAUAAAUAUAAUAUGUAUAAUAUCCAUUCAAAUUUAGAAAUUGUUUUCUUACUCUCAGACUGCUUAUCAUGUCUAUCUAUCUAUCUAUCGGGGUAUGUUUAAGUUUAAAAGUAAAGUUGUCAUUUUUUAAAAACAUUGUGACUCCAAAAAUAAUAUCUGAUGUUGCUGUACAUGAGCACCAUGUAUCUUUCAUCUAACCUGCAGAAAAAUUAAAAUGAUUUAAUCUCACA